Molecule: ribosomal RNA, 301 nt
Filed under: uncultured bacterium
Lineage: Bacteria
Description: partial 16S ribosomal RNA
Rfam family: Bacterial small subunit ribosomal RNA
Source: RNAcentral
CAGUCGCCGCGGGAAUACGUAGGGUCCGAGCGUUGUCCGGAAUUAUUGGGCGUAAAGGGCUCGUAGGCGGUUUGUUGCGUCGGGAGUGAAAACCUAGGGCUUAACUUUGGGCUUGCUUUCGAUACGGGCAGACUUGAGGCAUUGAGGGGAGAACGGAAUUCCUGGUGUAGCGGUGAAAUGCGCAGAUAUCAGGAGGAACACCGGUGGCGAAGGCGGUUCUCUGGCAAUGUUCUGACGCUGAGGAGCGAAAGUGUGGGGAGCGAACAGGAUUAGAUACCCGUGUAGUCCCUGUCUCUUAUAC